CAGAUGUAUUACCAUCAUUGUUUUUUAUCAUUUACUGUUUCAACUGCUUGUCAUAACGAGGCUUUGAAUCUUGGCUAUCGGUUUCAUCUUCAUUGGUCUUGUAUUGCUUUACGAUCGUGACUUGCUCUAAUAAAAAGUAAAUUGAAUCUGCAGAAACUAUGUUAAGGCUUUGUUCUUAUCUGAUAAAUGCGAAUGUAUUAAAAUGUUGAUUUAUAUUUAAACUGGUGAACAUUUGGUUGGACCAUAUGACGAGUGUUUCUGCCAACAGAAAAAGGGGCAAGGCAAAGGCGUCCGAGACACGGUCUUUGAAAAAGGUUCAAGCUUCUAUCCAGGCCCAAGCUCCUAUCAAGGUUCAAGCUCCUAUAUAUCCCGACUCAAGCUCCCAUCCAGGCUCCUGCUCCUAUCCAGGCUCUUGAGGAAAGUGCACCAGAUUAAAAACAAUGUGCAAGUGUCCAGGUUUGGCCACAGGAGGAGGAAGAAUGUCUUUUUUAAUGACUUUUUGUGUUAAAUGUUAAAAUAAAAUAAGAAGUUAAA
This is a long non-coding RNA of Ruditapes philippinarum (Manila clam), 534 nucleotides long. RefSeq lists it as uncharacterized. NCBI's taxonomy places the organism in Eukaryota, Metazoa, Mollusca, Bivalvia, Venerida, Veneridae. The record is from RefSeq and is a predicted model, not a curated record. The transcript has 3 exons.